RNAcentral lists this ribosomal RNA (334 nucleotides) under uncultured bacterium. RNAcentral describes it as "bacterial SSU rRNA". It matches the Rfam family "Bacterial small subunit ribosomal RNA", at positions 568 to 898 of the family's 1533-position model. The record is from RNAcentral.
CGCGUAGGCGGUUGUGAUAGUCAGGUGUGAAAAUCCUUCGGCUUAACCGGAGAACUGCAUCUGAAACUUCAUAACUAGAGUACAGGAGAGGGAAACGGAAUUCCCGGUGUAGAGGUGAAAUUCGUAGAUAUCGGGAGGAACACCAGUGGCGAAGGCGGUUUCCUGGCCUGAUACUGACGCUGAGGCGCGAAAGCGUGGGGAGCAAACAGGAUUAGAUACCCUGGUAGUCCACGCGGUAAACGGUGAACACUAGGUGUGGGAGGUGUAAUACCUUCUGUGCCGAAGCUAACGCGUUAAGUGUUCCGCCUGGGAAGUUACGGCCGCGAAGGUUGAA